GGGGUGUGCUCAUAGCAGGGGACGUAAAGAUAUGGCUCCCGUGUUUACAACACACCCAACAAGAAUCUGGGUUCAUUGUGACAAGGGGCACAAAACUUGUGGCCUUCCUACAAACAGAUAGCCUACACAU
Molecule: small nucleolar RNA, 130 nt
Organism: Ailuropoda melanoleuca (giant panda)
Lineage: Eukaryota; Metazoa; Chordata; Mammalia; Carnivora; Ursidae
Source: Ensembl